Malurus melanocephalus (red-backed fairy wren) is the source of this 1633-nucleotide long non-coding RNA. RefSeq lists it as uncharacterized. NCBI's taxonomy places the organism in Eukaryota, Metazoa, Chordata, Aves, Passeriformes, Maluridae. The transcript is spliced from 3 exons. The record is from RefSeq and is a predicted model, not a curated record.
AUGAGAAGACACCAUCCCCUCCUGGCAGGAAAAAGGAGGAGAAGACACCGCCCCCUCGUGGCAGGAAAUCCAAGCCAAGGACCCCACGAACAAAACAGAUCCUGCUAAAUCUGCAGCCAUACAAAGUUUCCCGGGAGCAGGGCRUGAAGGCCUUGGAGAUUAACAUGUCACAGGAAUGGUCCCAUGACAAUUCCCUUGUACCACCUGAAUCCUGCACAGCUCCUGAACUUUGCACAGCUCUGGAUCCCUGCAUAGCUCCUGAUCCCUACACAGCUCCUGAUCUGCCUGGGCUUGAAGAAGAACCUGGAACUCCAUGAACAGAGAAUAGUGGAACUGAGAUGUGGGGGCAGCCAAGUGGCACCAUGGAAACAGGAAUAAAGAACUAGAAGUACAUCACCUCGGCAUGUGAAUUGCUGCUCCACACCAGGGAUUGAGUCYGUGGUCAGGACAACAGUGUUUGGUAACCCAAGUGGGACUGGUGGACUUGCAUGACUGCAGUCACAGAAUCCCAGGAUGUAAGAUUGGAAGGGACUCCAGUGGCUCAUCUGGUCCUACCUCUCUGCUCCAGCAGAGCCAUCCCAUARCACAUGGUACAGGAUUGUGUUUGGAUGGAUCUGAAAUAUUCCCAGUGAGGAAGACUCCAUCCCCUCUCUGGACCACCUGUUCAGGGCUUGGUCACUGCACAGCAAAGAAGUUCUGGCUCAUGUUGAACUGGAACUUCCUGGGUAUCAGUUCCUACCCAUUCCUCUUGUCCCAUCACUGGGCUGCGUGAAGAAGAGCCUGGUCCCUGUUCCAAGCCCUCCCUGCAGACAGAAACAGACUGGGAUGAGGACACCUCUCAGAUCUGUCUCCUCUAGAGGCUCAACAGCCAUAGGUCCCUCAGCCUUUUCUGGGCAGGGUGAUGAUCCAGGCCCUACAUCAUCUCCAUAGUUUCCACUGGACCUGCUUCAGGAGCUCCCUGUCCCUCCUAUCCUGAGGAACCCAGGGCUGGACACAGMACUGCAGACGUGCCUUGCAGGGCUGAGUAGAGGAGCAGAAUCACUCCCUGACCUGCUGGCAAUGCUGUUCCUGAUGCCCCCCAGGAUCCCACUGGCCUUCUUGGCCACCAGCAGAUUCUGCUGGCUCAGGGRCAGCUCAUUGYACCCAGGACCCCCAGGUCCUUCUCCACAGAGCUGCUCCAGCAGGUCACCCACAGCCUGUGCUGGUGCCGGGUUGUUCCUCCGCAUGUGCAGAACCUGCAUUUCCCUUCAUUGGACUUGAGAAGGCUCUUCCCUGCCCAUCUCCCAACCUGUUCAGGUUCCUCUGAGGGGCUGCAGAGCCCUCAAGGGCUGUUGAGGCUGGGCCUAAGGAGGAGCAAACAGGGCCAGCUCAUCUGAGGUGUUACUUGAAGAAAGGUGAUUUUGKCAAGGGGGGAUUAUGACAAACCAGGUCAUGGCCACUGACUCCAGAAUCCCACUGACUCCAAAGAUGGACAAGACCGAACCUGGGGACUAUUUAGUGUGAGAAGGGAGACAAGCAUUUAGCCAAUGGGAGUUGGAAUAUUAAAGAGAGAACUCUGUAACUUGUAGCCAUUGAAUAUUGAGGCCUCUGUUUGUUGAAAUGUAUAAAUAUUGUAAAGUUUUGAUGAAUGGGA